RNAcentral lists this non-coding RNA (31 nucleotides) under Homo sapiens (human). Lineage: Eukaryota; Metazoa; Chordata; Mammalia; Primates; Hominidae. The record is from RNAcentral.
UCCAGUCCAGACUUUGGUCCUUUAACCGACA